GACGAGCUCACAUACACACUGUUUCGCUCCACCAUGGUCGCACUCCACAACCACCGCUCCACCACCAAAAUCCCAAUGUUUUAUGAAGCACAACCUCUGGAUUUAGAACUCAUUUUGUGGGGAAUAAUCUUAUUCUGCCCUAAACAAGUGGAAGUGUACAUGUUCUUCUUUCAAAGGGAAUCUGAGAUACUAUCUUGCUAAUUGUUCUAAGUCAUGUGAUUGCCAUUCAGGUAUGGGUCAAGCUUGAUUCUACAAAUGUAAUGUUGUAAAAUCACUAAUUGAUGGGCGAUGAAGAAGGUGCAUCCAUAUGGAUAUGCAUAUGUGAUCCAAAUGGGUUUCCUAAAGUGACAACAAAUGGCUAUAACCUUUAUUGCUUUAAUGCCUGCAAGUGCAACUGAGGCACUCUACAGAUCGUGAAGUUGCUCUUAUGAUGCUAAUGGCAUACCUCUCCUACAUGCUGGCUGAAGUACGUUUUAAAUAACUUUAGUAUGUAGUUAUGUUAUCUGAGUGGCAUUCUCACUGUAUUCUUUUGUGGGAUUGUUAUGCCACUGAAAGAUGGAAGUAAUGUGGCAGUCAAGAGCCCAAAACAUCAAGGAAGGCCGGAAGUAGACUCUGAUUUUACUGAGGUUGUGAUAUAUAGUAUACUCUUGUUGGCCUUCAACUGAAAAAACCAUGGAAGUGAUAAAGUCCAAGUUUGAGAAUUUACAUGGCCUUUGUAAUUGUUGUGGUGCAAUUGACAGAACACACAUGUUGAUGACUUUUCCCUCUACAGACUCUGGAUAAUGUAUAGCUUGAUCAUGUGAAGAAUUGCAGCAUGGUUUUACUUGAUAAUAGAGCAGUGGAUGGUGAUUGCCAAUUCCAGAUCAUCAACCAAAGUUUUCGUAGAUGAUUUGAAAAGUUGUAAUUAUUUAAUGCCAUUUUUAGGCUAAACAAAUAGAUGUAGCUAAUUGUUAAGAUAUGUAUAAUGACUUUUGUAAUUGUAUUACACUAUAGCUCAUUU
This is a long non-coding RNA of Gastrolobium bilobum, 1000 nucleotides long. RefSeq lists it as uncharacterized. NCBI's taxonomy places the organism in Eukaryota, Viridiplantae, Streptophyta, Magnoliopsida, Fabales, Fabaceae. The record is from RefSeq and is a predicted model, not a curated record. The transcript has 5 exons.